AGCGGGUGUAGUUUAGUGGUAAAACUACAGCCUUCCAAGCUGUUGUCGCGAGUUCGAUUCUCGUCAUCCGCUU
This 73-nucleotide transfer RNA is filed under the name Streptococcus pneumoniae. RNAcentral describes it as "tRNA-Gly(tcc)". It matches the Rfam family "tRNA". Rfam says of the family: Transfer RNA (tRNA) molecules are approximately 80 nucleotides in length. Their secondary structure includes four short double-helical elements and three loops (D, anti-codon, and T loops). The record is from RNAcentral. Lineage: Bacteria; Bacillati; Bacillota; Bacilli; Lactobacillales; Streptococcaceae.